UUUUAAAGUGGUUAUUUUUGGUGAGUUGGUUUAAAUUGAUUAAGUGUAGGGUCUUUAAAGGUAUUUUUUCGUUUUAAAUGUGUUUAUGGUUUGUGAGUUAGGAGAUUGAAAAUGGUUAUGUGUUGGGACUUUAAAGACGCUUUUUUGUUUUGAAAGUAGUUAUGUUUGGUGACUUGGUUGUAAGAAAAUGAUUAAGUGUCGGGAGUUUAAAGGUAUUUUUUGUUUUGAAAGUGGUAAUGUUUGAUGACGUGGUAGGUUGAAAAUUGUUAAGUGUAGGGACUUUAAAGGUGCUUUUUUGUUUUGAAAGUUCUUAUGUUUGGUGACUUGGUAGGUCAAAAAUGGUUAAAUGUUGGGACUUUAAAGGUGCCUUUUUUUUUUUAAUUGAAAGUGCUUAUAUUUGGUGACUUGGUAGGUUGAAAAUGGUUAAAUCUAGGGACUUUAAAGGUGUUUUUUUUAAAGUUGUUAUGUUUGGUGACUUGGUAGGUUGAAAAUGGUUAAAUCUAGGGACUUUAAAGGUGUUUUUUUUAAAGUUGUUAUGUUUGGUGACUUGGUAGGUUGAAAAUGGUUAAGUAUAGGGACUUUAUACGUGCUUUUUUAUUUUGGAAGUGGUUAUGAUUGG
This 619-nucleotide long non-coding RNA is filed under the name Capsicum annuum. RNAcentral's name for it is "long non-coding RNA (CANN_LNC021545)". Lineage: Eukaryota; Viridiplantae; Streptophyta; Magnoliopsida; Solanales; Solanaceae. The record is from RNAcentral.